RNAcentral lists this ribosomal RNA (517 nucleotides) under uncultured bacterium. Its description in RNAcentral is "bacterial SSU rRNA". It matches the Rfam family "Bacterial small subunit ribosomal RNA", at positions 993 to 1509 of the family's 1533-position model. The record is from RNAcentral.
GAAUUUAGCAGAGAUGCUUUAGUGCCUUCGGGAACUCUGAGACAGGUGCUGCAUGGCUGUCGUCAGCUCGUGUUGUGAAAUGUUGGGUUAAGUCCCGNAACGAGCGCAACCCUUAUCCUUUGUUGCCAGCACGUAAUGGUGGGAACUCAAAGGAGACUGCCGGUGAUAAACCGGAGGAAGGUGGGGAUGACGUCAAGUCAUCAUGGCCCUUACGAGUAGGGCUACACACGUGCUACAAUGGCGCAUACAAAGAGAAGCGACCUCGCGAGAGCAAGCGGACCUCAUAAAGUGCGUCGUAGUCCGGAUUGGAGUCUGCAACUCGACUCCAUGAAGUCGGAAUCGCUAGUAAUCGUAAAUCAGAAUGUUACGGUGAAUACGUUCCCGGGCCUUGUACACACCGCCCGUCACACCAUGGGAGUGGGUUGCAAAAGAAGUAGAUAGCUUAACCUUCGGGAGGGCGUUUACCACUUUGUGAUUCAUGACUGGGGUGAAGUCGUAACAAGGUAGGCGUAGUGCU